RNAcentral lists this long non-coding RNA (12513 nucleotides) under Panax ginseng (ginseng). Its description in RNAcentral is "long non-coding RNA (PGIN_LNC010071)". The record is from RNAcentral. Lineage: Eukaryota; Viridiplantae; Streptophyta; Magnoliopsida; Apiales; Araliaceae.
GACCUUUCAAUUACGUAAUUCGCAACCCUUGUUCUUAUUUCAUUUUACUGUCUUCACAAAUCAACCUUGUACAGCAAAGAAAGAAAGAAAAAAUUGCAGCAACCCAAAUCAGUGGCCUACUUGCGACCUCCUUCCGCAGAUCGGCGGCAGAAUCCCAACCCCUCUCUAUUCCUAUCUUAGAUCGCAACCCUAGCACCCAUCUGUCUUUCCUCCUCUCUCUCCGCAUCCUCUAACCCUAGCCCAAACAAUUAGUGGUGGCGACGACCUAGUGUUGGCGGCAUAAUGGUGCUCUCCUUCUGCUUCAACCUCUUGCAUUAUUGUCCAAUUGAAGGUACAAAUUUCCUUCCUUUUGAAUUUCCCCUACAAAUUCUAAUCAUCACUGUUAGGAUAUAAAUCUAUCAAGCCUCUAUUCAUCAUCUCUCUCCCAUACGCCUCGGGAUUAGCUCUGCAUCUUAGUGAAAGAUUUUAAAGGUAUGCUCAAGAGAAUCUCUUUAUCCAGUUUCAUGUGUAUAUAUUUAUUAUAUGUAUAUACACAUACAAACUGCAACGAUUACAAAGAAAAUAGUGAUAAUUCAUUUCUUUUGAGUUUGAACUUAUCAAUUGCUUGAGCUCAAAAUCCUGUAUUUGGGAGGUCUAAACUCAAAAUUUUGACAUUUAUGUGGUUGGUAUUCUUAACUGUGAUUAGUUUUAUUUAAGAGUAAGUUUUCUUUGAAUUUCAGCAUGCCAGUUCAGUAUUGAUCAGUGGCUUUAUUUCACUUUUAAAGAUUCUAAAGUUGUUUAGAUUGCAACAAAAAUUGACAUUUUACUAACAUUUGAGUUUUGAAUUUAGGUUAUUUUUCUCAAGGAUUUUUUUUGGGGUUUGAUUUGGUGCUUUAGUUUCAACACCCUAAUUUUUAAAAUUAUUUUGAGGUCUCCCAAAUGGUAAAUUGGUAGCUCUUUCUGUCUUGAUGUUGAUUUUUAUUGUGGGUUACACAUUUGCCUAGUGAAUUAGAAUCUUCUUUAUUUGGAAUUGUGAAUUUUUUCUUUGUUGUUUAAUUUAAAGUGGCACUUAAAGUCGGAAUAGUGAGGAUAUUGGAUACUAUUUGAUGAGUGAUGUACCUAGGGAAUUGGUAUUCAGUUCGUUUGCUUAAACAUUUGCAAUCAAAAUUUGUCUAGAAUUACCAGCGGAAGGGUUUUCUAUUCAGUUUUUCCCUUUCACAAAAUUCGACAAACUUAAUGAGAAAUUUGAUUGUGAAAACUUAAUGUGAAAUUCUAUUUUUUGUGGAAUCUCUUGUUGAAUGUAUGUGUAUGUUUCCUUGUUAACGGUGUGAUUUUUUUACUAUUAUCUUAGAACGUUAUCUGCGACGCCCCCAAAAUAGGUAUACAUCACCCAUCUUGAGUCAUCAAAUAUAUGGUACAGAAUUCAAAUACAAACUUAAAUAUACAACAUGAGCUGUGAGUUUUAAUACAAAUAUUAUUUUCUAGACAGUAUUCAAACUUAAAUAAGUCCUCAAUACAUUUAUUAUCACACUAUUUUAAAGAAUAGUGAGAACUACUAAUGCAAACAUCUGGACCGUCAAUCCAUUCUCCGACUAGUCCCAGCUAUAUUCUCAUUUCCUGAAGAGAACAGUGAAAGAAAGAGUGAGCUCAAUUAGCCCAUUAAGAAAUAUUAUGACUAAGAUAAUGCAGAAUAAAUUAUCCUUAGCCUUCAACAGUAUAACAACUGAUAGAAUAUAAUGGACAACAAGUUUUAAAUCAACAACUGCAGCGGAAUAAACAAUCCAUUAAAAGAGUCAAGUAGAGCAUGAUAUCUACUAUCUUCUAUGAUUUAAAAGAUUUAUCAUCGAUUUUAUCGCUGAGACUCAACUUAAUAAAUAAUCCACAUCAUCGAAUGAUCCUUGCACUACGGGCCAAUGAUAUUCAUUAGUAUCACGAUCACGAAUUAUUCAUGCACUACGGGCCAAAGAUAAUCUUGUUUUCAUCAACGGUCAUAAUCAUGCCAUAAAAAAAUUCACCUUUGCACCCUUGGCCGAAGAGAAUCCAUGGCCAUAAUCAUACCAAAAACUGUCCAUCAAUGCACUAUGGGCCAAUGAGGACUUUUACCACAUCAUUUGUAACAUUACGGUCAUGAUUAUACCGAAUAAUCCCUGGUCAUAAUCAUAUCAAGUACAUCUAUGCACUACGAGCCAAAGAUGACUUUCAAAACAAUAUAAGCAUGAGGAUGAUGACAAUGACAUAAUAAUUCAAUAAAACAAGUUCAAGGAUAAAUUUUCAAGAUUUAUAAUUUAAUUUAUCCAGAAAUCAAUAACUUCCAAAUUGUAAAUAUGAUACUGCUUUGUGGAGUAAAAUUCAAGAAUAAUAUUGUACUAAAAAUAAUUUGGACCAAAAAUGAAUCAAUUUUUAUCAUGAAUAGUACCCUAGGUGAAUAGUACCCCGUGAAUAGUAUUUCGGGAAUAGUAACCUCGUGAAUAGUACUCCGGCAUGAAAAAGUUUAAACUUAUCAAGAAUGCUCAGAAUAAUAUUUUCAUGAAAAGAUACUAGAUGAAGCGCAAAUAUCAAGGAUAUUCUACUAAUUUCAUGGAGUAUAGAAGCCAAAACUUUAACAAAACGAGUAUAAAAUUCGAAAUCUGAAACGAAAUAAUAUAACUUACAUACUACAGAGUAUGAAGAAAAAUAUUAUUUCAAGCGAAUAUUGAACAAUAAUAACUUCCAUUACGAAUAUUAAACGAAAAUAAUAUUCAUUACGAAUAUAAUAUUUCUUGCGAAUAUUGAACGAAAUAAAAUUUUUUAUGAAUAUUAAAUUGAAAUAAUAUUCAUAAGAAUACGAAAAAUAAUAUCUCUUCAGAGUGUGAAAUAAAUAAUACCCCUUAGCUCAAAAAAUAGAGCAACUCCGAUUGGUAUAGCGGAUAUAUUCUUGAAGAAAAUUUUUACUGUUUUCUACACUCAAAGCUUCCUAAAAGUCGAAAGAAAUACGCUCAAUAUUAUAGAAGAAGAAUUCUCUGAUUCUGGUGUGAUUUUCAAUUCUAACUAAGCAUCCUAUUUAUAGGAGAAUGAAAAGGAUACUAUUUGAGCGCACAGUGCACAAAGGUUCACGGGCAGAAUUCUGAAUUCACGGACGAAGAAAAAUUUUCGUAUAACUUUACUAUACAAACACUAUACAUAAUAAAAUAUAAUAUAUUCUAUUUUUCAUAAAAAAUAAAACUUAUUAUAAUAUAUAUAUAUAUAUAUAUAUAAUAUAACACAAAUAGUACACCUCUCGUGACUCUGCAAACUUUCCUCCCAAUUUCAUAUUUCUUCCACACGUGGGCCCCACAUGUGGUCCCUACAUGUGGACCCCACCUUUAAUAAAUUGAAUAACUUUCUACCGAUUAUUUUGAAAAAUGGGUAAAUGGGGGUCCAUAAAUACAACAAAUAUUUCAUAAAAAUUCUCUCAAUAUUUUUAACAAUAUUUAUUCAUUAUUAUUGUAAUUCGUAAUAUUAACAACCAGCUCGUUCCCAGGAAAGAGGGGGCUUUCCAAUAAGGAUUUCUCCCUAUUGGCGCGCAAUUAGGUGACCAAAUCUCUCCCUGACAGAACUUUUAGACAUUGUUAAUUAUGCAAAUAAUAAUAUGAAAUACUUAUCAUCUCAAUUAUUGAUUUAAUAAUAUAUAAAAUAUUGACAAUAAUUGAAUCAAAUAACGUGAGAUACAAUGCAGCAAUUUCUAUAGCAAUAAUUGAACAAAAUUGAGUGACUUCUUACGUAAGCAUCAAUAAUCAAUACCGUGUGCUACUAUAUAACCACGCGUAUUACUGUACUUUUACUACCGGGUAGUUCAACAGUUUAACGGUAAAACUUCCGCCAUUAUUUUUAUAAAAAGAUAUUUCUGUCGUUUUCUCAUUCUAACAAUAAUUUCGUUUUGGGGUUCACCAAUAAUUGUGCCGUCGUACGAAUAUUCCCUGUUAAAACGAAUAUUCCCCGACCAAUCGAAUAUUAUAUAAUAACUUGCUUUCUUUGCAAAAUUUAUAAAUAUUACCCACUACUAUAACAUUAUAUCAAAUCUACACCAUAAUAUUAAAAAAAAUAUUUCAAGAAAAUUAAAUCUUUAUUCAUAAAAUUUGGGGUCUCACAAUCUCCCCUCCUUAUGAAAUUUUGCCCUCAAAAUUUACGUACGUACCUGGUAUACCGAACAGAUGAGGACACUUCGUCAGAUUCUAACUCUUGAGGUAUAACCCUUUGAGCGUAGAAUAUAUUCCUUCUUAUCUAAGAUUUUAACAGGUACAUCUUCAUACAUUUAAUCUUUCGCUAUCUCGUCCGGUUCUAAAUCAAUAAUGUGGUUCGGGUCGUCCCCAUAUUUACGUAACAUCGAUUCGUGAAAAACAUGCGACAUACUUGGCAUUAAGGCGAGUCUAUAGGCCACAAUUCCUACUCGAUCGAGGAUUUCAAAUAGGCCUUUUAAAUCGAGGGUUGAGAUUUCCUCUCGUCAUCGACUCUUUCUUCUAGAAUAACCCCUUCUUGAACCUUCUUCUUCAUAUUCAUCAACUCCAGGUCUGUAGCUUGAGCGAUUUUAACAUUAUCGAUUAAAGUCGAUUCUACUCGUAUAUUUAAAAUCAUCACGUGGGUUUUUAACUAUAUCUCCAUUAAUUGUAAGUUAUACGAAAUGAGUUUUUGUGUUAACAUCACACUCGUAUACGAUCUUCUACUCAACGCGUCAGCUACCACAUUCGCUUUUCCCACGAUGGUAUUGAAUGGUACGAUCGUAAUCUUCAACAGCUCGAGCCAACGUUUUUGGCGCAUAAUACUUUCGUUUUGGGUGAAGAAAUACUUGAGGGUUUUAGAAAUGGGGUUUUGUACUGGGUCAAUACAAAAUUCGAUUUCACGCUCUGGGGUAGACUAAGAAGUCUUCAGGGAAUACGUUAGGAAAUUUAUUAACAAUAGAAAUAUCAUUCAAAACUGUGACUCUCAUCCAAGACUUGGAUAACAUGUCACAUUGAUACCUAUCAACUUGCCACCGUUAUUCAGGGCGUCUCCUAUGAAAAGUCUGGCUUCGGUUCAUUCCACACAAGGAAGUUACCAACGAAAGGCUCAGGGCUCUUUACUUAUGACUUGAUAUGAUAGUGAUUGACUUUAGUGGUUUGGUUGUUUGAAUUCGCAAAAUAGGUUGGUUAGGAAUAUGAAAGCUAACAACCUUUCAAAAAUAAUCAAUUUUAGCAUGAUGAAUAAUUAACCAAUCGAUUCCUAAAAUCACAUCAAAGGCAAGUAUUUUCAAAGAGAUAAGAUCGACAGGUAACAUAAAAGUGUCGAUUUGAAUCAAUAAGAUUUAUAAACAGUGGAGGUAAUGAAGGUUUCUCCUAACGGAGUUUCAACAGAUAAGUUAAAGUCUAAUUUCUCAAGAGUCAAGUUCAAACGUUGAACACAACAAGGUGAAAUAAAAGAGUGGGUAAAACUGAUAUCGAAUAAGGUAUAGACUUCACAAGAGUUUAUGAUUACUUACUCGUGAUAACUUCGUUCGAGUUCCUCGACAAACGCUCUCACUUAAACUACCGGCUAUGACUUGUCUAGGACAUCCUUUAGCGUCACUAUCCCAGCUGGACUUGACUUCACUACACGACAAAAUCGAGCUAGGUGACCUUCUCUCCCGCAAUUGAAACACGCUUUGGGUUGCUGCGUACAGUUUGGACAGAUGUGUCCCUCCUGUCCGCAUUUGAAACAUACGACCAGUGGUCGUUCUUCUUCCUUUGAAACGGGUGCCGGUGCUGCUUUCUUUCCAUCAUUAUUGAACAUUCUCUUCUUGAAAUUUUCACUUCUAUUAUCUUGGCCAUUAUUACCACCGAAGUGGUUACCAUUCUUGGCUUGAUAAUUUCUCCCACGAUGGUUAUCAUUGUUCCGAUGGCCGUUGCCACCGAUAUGAUUAUUAUCGUGUUGUUGGUCGUUAACUUUUGGUUGUGUUGACUCAUUAUCGCGCUCCACUAACUGAGCCCUAUUCACAACAUCUGAAUAUAAACAAAGUUUGUGAGAAAUGAGGUAUUGACGUAUUUCAGGUUUCAAACCUCUUAGAAACAUUCACGUCAUUCGCUCCUCAUUAUCGACCAAAUGGGAUGAAAACCGAGAUAACUCCGCAAACUUAGUCUCGUACUGCGACACGGUUAUAUUGUUUUUCUCCAGCUUGAUGAAUUCCACCUCCUUCAUGUGACGAAUACUUUCGGGAAAGUACUUGUCGUUGAACAAUUCUUGGAACUUCUCCCAAGACAUCUUGAGUGCGUCAGUCUGGGUACAUUUUACAGAUUCUCACCAAUGAUCUGCUUCUUCAUGCAACAUAAAGGUGGCGAAUGGAACCUUUUGCUCCUCUGAGCAUUCUAAGACAUCAAAUAUCUUGGUGAUUUGCUUUAUCCAUGUCUCUGCCUUAAGUGGUUCUGGCUUUCCCAAAAACUCCAGUGGUCCCAGCUCCUUGAACUGCUUAGCGGUGACCAACUGUGGGUUGCCAUUGUUUCCACCUGCAUUAUGAACAGGAGUCUCUCUCGUUUGGUGUUGCAUGAACUGCACAAAGCCUCUGAACAUCCCAUCGUUCAUCAUUUGAUCAAUGUUGUUUAUAGGAGGAUUAUUGUCUUUCUGUUGCACAUUAUCCUGGGUAUUGGUCGUUGGUGACUCAACGGUCUCCUGUGCUCCAUUGCUAUUCUCAACAUUCUCGGAUGUCAUUUUUAAAUACUGCCACAAAACAAGGGUUAAUUGACAUACCACAUAUUAUCCAUAUACUCUGACCGAUCAAUUAAAUACCAAUUAAACUUAGGUAGGUCAUACUAGUGAAGGAAUUCUCUGUCUCUCCCCUCCUUGUUCUUGUCUAACAUCUCAGCCAGGGAUCAUAUCCCAAAGCUUUGAUACCAACUGUGACGCCCCUAAAAUAGGUAUACAUCACCUAUCUUGAGUCACCAAAUACAUGGUACAGAAUUCAAAUACAAACUUAAAUAUACAACAUGAGCUGUGAGUAUUAAUACAAAUAUUGUCUUCUAGACAAUAUUUAAACUCAAAAUAAGUCCUCAAUACAUUUAUUAUCAUACUAUUUCACAGAAUAGUGAGGACUACUAAUGCAAACAUCUGGACCGUCAAUCCAUUCCCCGACUAGUCCCAGCUAUAUUCUCAUUUCCUGAAGAGAACAGUGAAAGAAAGGGUGAGCUCAACUAGCCCAGUAAGAAAUAAUAUGACUAAGAUAAUGCAGAAUAAAUUAUCCUUAGCCUUCAACAGUAUAACAACUGAUAGAAUAUAAUAGACAACAAGUUUUAAAUCAACAACUGUAGCGGAAUAAGCAAUCCAUUAAAAAAGUCAAGUAGAGCAUGAUAUCUACUAUCUUCUAUGAUUUAAAAGAUUUAUCAUCGAUUUUAUCGCUGAGACUCAACUUAAUAAAUAAUCCACAUCAUCGAAUAAUCCCUGCACUACGGACCAAAGAUAUUCAUUAGUAUCACAACUACGAAUUAUCCAUACACUACGGGCAAAAGAUAAUCGUGUUUUUAUCAACGGUCAUGAGCAUGCCAUAAAAAAAUUCAUCUUUACAUUACGGUCAUGAUUAUACCGAAUAAUCCCUGGUCAUAAUCACCAAGUCCAUCUAUGCACUACGGGCCAAAGAUGACUUUCAUAACAAUAUAAGCAUGACAAUGACAUAAUAAUUCAAUAAAACAAGUUCAAGGAUAAAUUUUUAAGAUUUAUAAUUUAAUUUAUCCAGAAAUCAAUAACGUCCAAAUUGUAAACAUGAUACUGCUUUGUGGAGUAAAAUUCAAGAAUAAUAUUGUACCAAAAAUAAUUUGGACCAAAAAUGAAUCAAUUUUUAUCAUGAAUAGUACCCUAGGUGAAUAGUACUCGAGUGAAUAGUGCCCCGUGAAUAGUACUUCGGGAAUAGUAACCCCGCGAAUAGUACUCCGGCAUGAAAAAAUUAAAACUUAUCAAGAAUGCUCAGAAUAAUAUUUUCAUGAAAAGAUACUGGAUGAAGCGCAAAUAUCAAGGAUAUUCUAUUAAUUUCAUAGAGUGAAGCCAAAAUUUUAACAAAACGAGUAUAGAAUUCGAAAUCUGAGACGAAAUAAUAUUACUUACAUACUACAAAGUAUGAAAGAAAAUAUUAUUUCAAGCGAAUAUUGAACAAAAAUAACUUCCCUUACGAAUAUUAAACGAAAAUAAUAUUCAUUACGAAUAUUAAACGAAUAUAAUAUUUCUUGCGAAUAUUGAACAAAAUAAAAUUUCUUAUGAAUAUUGAACGAAAAUAAUAUUCAUACGAAUACGAAAAAUAAUAUCUCUUCAGAAUGUGAAAUAAAUAAUACCUCUUACUUUAAAAAAUAGAGCAACUCCGACUGGUAAAGCAGAUAUAUUCUUGAAGAAAACUUUAACUGUUUUCUACACUCAAAGCUUCCUAAAACUCGAAAGAAAUACGCUCAAUAUUAUAGAAGAAGAAUUCUCUGAUUCUGUUGUGAUUUUCAAUUCUAACUAAACAUCCUAUUUAUAGGAGAAUGGAAAAGAUACUAUUUGAGCGCACAGUGCACAAAGGUUCACGGGCAGAAUUCUGAAUUCACGGACGAAGAAAAUUUUUCGUAUAACUUUACUAUGCAAACACUAUGCAUAAUAAAAUAUAAUAUAUUCUAUUUUUCAUAAAAAAUAAAACUUAUUAUAAUAUAUAUAUAUAUAUAUAUAUAUAUAUAUAUAUAUAAAAUAUAAUAUAACAGAAAUAGUACACCUCCCAUGACUCUGCAAACUUUCCUCCCAAUUUCAUAUUUCUUCCACACGUGGGCCCCACAUGUGGCCCCCACCUUUAAUAAAUUGAAUAAAUUUUUAUCGAUUAUUUUGAAAAAUGGGUAAAUGGGGGUUCAUAAAUACAACAAAUACUUCAUAAAAAUUCCCUCAAUAUUUUUAGCAAUAUUUAUUCAUUAUUAUUAUAAUUCGCAAUAUUAACAACAGCUCGUUCCCAGGAAAGAGGAGGCUUUUCCAAUAAGGAUUUCUCCCUAUUGGCGCGCAAUUAGGUGACCAAAUCUCUCCUUGACAGAACUUCUAGACAUUGUUAAUUAUGUAAAUAAUAAUAUGAAAAACUUGUCAUCUCAAUUAUUGAUUUAAUAAUAUAUAAAAUAUUGAUAAUAAUUAAAUCAAAUAACGUGAGAAACUAUGCAACAAUUUCUGUAGCAAUAAUUGAACAAAACUGAGUGACUUCUCACGUAAGCAUUAAUAAUCAAUGUCGUGUGCUACUAUGUAACCACGCGUAUUACUGUACUUUUACUACCGGGUAGUUCAACAGUUUAACGGUAAAACUUUCGCUGUUAUUUUCAUAAAAAGAUAUUUCUGUCGUUUUUUUAUUACGACAAUAAUUCUGUUGUGGGGUCCACCAAUGAUUGUGCCGUCGUACGAAUAUUUCCUGUUAAAACGAAUAUUCUCCGACCAAUCGAAUAUUAUAUAACAACUUAUUUUCUUUGCAAAAUUUAUAAAUAUUACCCACAACUAUAACAUUAUAUCAAAUUCACACCAUAAUAUUAAAAAAAAUAUUUUAAAAAAAUUAAAUCUUUAUUCAUAAAAUUUGGGGUCUCACAUUAUCUAAUUCCAGUAUUUGUGUAAGUACGUUAAACUAACCAAGUUCCUGCUGUGUCAGUUCUCUUAACUAGCAAUGGAUCGAGUUGAUGAAUUUUAUCAUGAACGACUAGCAGCACUCUGGGGAGUAACAUGCCAAAUUGAAGAGGUAAUAAAAGUUUAUCUGAUAAUUUUGUCAGAAUCUUGAAUUUACCUAAAAAUAUUUUCCAAUUGUUAGCAAUUAUUUGUUUUCUUGGAUUUCUCAGGGUUUGUACUUGGGUUUCGUAGGAGCUGUAAAAAAUAAAAUUGAUUUAAUUAGCUUCAAUGUCUCACAUAUAUUGUCUGUGUCCAAUUCAUUGCCACCGGCUUAUCCAAUUGAUUUCAAAUACAAGAUUGUUAAUGGUAGGAAAUUUUUAACUUCAAUUCAUCCAAUGUUUCAUUAAAACUGAAAUCUUGUUAAGCUUUAGAGUGUAGACUUCUUUGUGUAUUUUUUUUAUUUUGUUUUAAUAGUUGUUAGUGAGAUAUUGUGAGACCCCAAAUUUUAUGAAUAAAGAUUUAAAUUUCUCAAAAUAUUUUUUUUGAAUAUUAUGGUGUGGAUUUGAGAUAAUGUUAUAGUUGUGGGUAAUAUUUAUAAAUUUUGAAAAGUAUGCAAGAUGUUGUAUAAUAUUCUUUUUGUCGGGGAAUAUCCGUACGACGGUACAAUCAUUGGUGGACCCCACAACGGAAUUAUUGUCGGAUUGAGAAAAGGACAAAAAUAUUUUUAUGAAAAUAACGACGGAAGUUUUACCGUUAAAACUGUUGAACUACCCGGUAGUAAAAGUACAGUAAUACGCGUGGUUGCAUAGUAGCACACGGUAUUGAUUAUUAAUGCUUACGUGAGAAGUCACUCAGUUUUGUUCAAUUAUUGCUACAGAAAUUGUUACAUAGUAUCUCACGUUAUUUGAUUUAAUUAUUGUCAAUAUUUUAUAUAUUAUUAAAUCAAUAAUUGAGAUGACAAGUUAUUCAUAUUAUUAUUUACAUAAUUAACAAUGUCUAGAAGUUCUGUCAAGGAGAGAUUUGGUCACCUAAUUGCGCGUCAAUAGGGAGAAAUCCUUAUUGGAAUAUUCUGUAGGUGUGUAUUACGCCUAACCUGAUUCCAUUAUUUAUUAUUCUAUUGGAAUAACCUGUCUAUGUGGAUUACCACAUGCAUGGUGAAUGAUCCUUUGUAUUCAUUCCUUAUUAAAUUGUGAAAAUGAUCUGUUUACGUGGAUUAACGCAUGGCGGGUUAAAAUUCAUUUGCAGUUUCGUAAUUUUUCGGAUAGUCAAAAAUUCUGGAAAACUUUGGGAGGAUAUUAUGAUAAGUUUUCUAACAUCUCCAAGUGGAAUCAUUGAAAGAGGAGUUGUAGAAUUUUGUAUGGAAAAUUUUUAACAAAGCAUGAAAAAGUGAAAAAAAAAGAAGAUAAAAAGCUACUGCCCACAAUUUUGGAAGGGCUGUUUCGGCCACUUAAUUUGUGAAAAAAAUUUCGGCCUUUUGGAACAUGGAAAUAUAUGGUAUAAAGUACUUCCUGUCCAAAAAUGAGCUCAUUCUGACUUAAAAUGAGUAAGUUAUGACUAUUUUAAUAUUUAGAUUUUUUCGACAAAAAAUGCUAUAAUCGGAGUUCUAUAACUCCGAUGACCAUGAAAUUUAAACUGGAAGCUCACGUUAACAUAUGUAAGAUCUUGUCAAGAUUUGGGAAUUUCUGGAAUUAAACUUGAGGUAGCUAAUUUCUUAAGGAAUUAAUUAGAAAUUGAUUUUUGAAAAAUACUUAAGGGAGUUGAAAAAUUAUAAAAAAAUACUUGUUGUGUAUGAAAUAUAUGUAUAUAUGUUUGGACGAAGGAUAGAAAAAUAAUAAGUUAAUUUGAUAAUUUUUCAUAGAAAUGGUUUAGUUACAAACAUAUGAGUUAAAUAUGUUAUGUGAAGUUGAAGAAUUGGUAAAUAGGAUUUUAGGGCUUGAAAAUNNNNNNNNNNNNNNNNNNNNNNNNNNNNNNNNNNNNNNNNNNNNNNNNNNNNNNNNNNNNNNNNNNNNNNNNNNNNNNNNNNNNNNNNNNNNNNNNNNNNNNNNNNNNNNNNNNNNNNNNNNNNNNNNNNNNNNNNNNNNNNNNNNNNNNNNNNNNNNNNNNNNNNNNNNNNNNNNNNNNNNNNNNNNNNNNNNNNNNNNNNNNNNNNNNNNNNNNNNNNNNNNNNNNNNNNNNNNNNNNNNNNNNNNNNNNNNNNNNNNNNNNNNNNNNNNNNNNNNNNNNNNNNNNNNNNNNNNNNNNNNNNNNNNNNNNNNNNNNNNNNNNNNNNNNNNNNNNNNNNNNNNNNNNNNNNNNNNNNNNNNNNNNNNNNNNNNNNNNNNNNNNNNNNNNNNNNNNNNNNNNNNNNNNNNNNNNNNNNNNNNNNNNNNNNNNNNNNNNNNNNNNNNNNNNNNNNNNUGAGUCUCAGCGUUAAAGUUGAUGAAAAUCUUUUUAAAUCAUAGAAGAUAGUAGAUUUUAUGCUCUACUUAACUCUUCUAAUGGAUUGCUUAUUCCGCUGCAGUUGUUGAUCUAAAACUUGUUGUCUAUUAUAUUCUGUCAGUUGUUAUACUGUUGAAGGCUAAGGAUAAUUUAUUCUGCAUUAUUUUAGUCAUAAUAUUUCUUACUGGCUAGUUGAGCUCACCCUUUUGCUUUCAUUGUUCUCUUUAGGAAAUGAGAACGUAGCUGGGGCUAGUCGGGGAACGGAGUGAUGGUCCGAGAUGGUGUCAUAGUAGUCCUCACUAUUCUAUAAAAUAGUGUGAUAAUAAAUGUAAUGAAGACUCCAUUAAGUGUGGAUAUUGUCUAGAUGAUAAUAUUUGUAUUAAAAUUCACAGCAUAUAUUUUGUCGUAUUUUACACGACUGUUGUAUAAUUAAGUUGUAUUUGAAUUUUAUGUACCAUUUAAGUGACGACCCAAGAUGGGUGAUGUAUACCUGUUUUGGGGGCAUCACAGUUGGUAUCAAAGCUUUGGGAUAUGAUCUCUGGCUGAGAUGUGAGACAAGAACUAGGAGGGGAG